This 301-nucleotide ribosomal RNA is filed under the name uncultured bacterium. RNAcentral's name for it is "partial 16S ribosomal RNA". It matches the Rfam family "Bacterial small subunit ribosomal RNA", at positions 509 to 809 of the family's 1533-position model. The record is from RNAcentral.
CAGUAGCCGCGGGAAUACAGAGGGUGCAAGCGUUAAUCGGAGUUACUGGGCGUAAAGCGCGCGUAGGUGGUUCGCCAAGUUGGAUGUGAAAUCCCCGGGCUCAACCUGGGAACUGCAUCCAAAACUGGCGAGCUAGAGUAUGGUAGAGGGUGGUGGAAUUUCCUGUGUAGCGGUGAAAUGCGUAGAUAUAGGAAGGAACAUCAGUGGCGAAGGCGACCACCUGGACUGAUACUGACACUGAGGUGCGAAAGCGUGGGGAGCAAACAGGAUUAGAUACCCGUGUAGUCCCUGUCUCUAAUAC